Long non-coding RNA from Dasypus novemcinctus (nine-banded armadillo), 1629 nucleotides. The record is from Ensembl. Lineage: Eukaryota; Metazoa; Chordata; Mammalia; Cingulata; Dasypodidae.
GGCGGCGGCUGUGUGCCCGCGGCGCUCAGGGGCGCUCGGGUCCCCGGCGGGUCGCCGCGGCUCCGGGGUCACAGCCCCGCAGGAGUGAGAAGAAGGAAGAAGGGACCAGCCGGGAGCGCGAGCGCGAGGGCGUGCGUGGAGGCCUCGCGGGUGUGGAGGAGGUGAGGGCAGAAAGACUAAGGGUGGUGCCGGGACCCCAGUGGGCGCCGGGUUCAAAACACCGCGCUCCGCGCUGGCGUUCCCAGGCUCGCGUUCACUCAGCUGCCUCGCUCGGCUUCCUUCCUAAGGGCUCCCCCUCGUGUUUUCCUCUAGCUUUUCUUGCCGAACGUGAAACAACAAAAUCGGAGACCCCUGAGUAGGGGGCACACGGCGGGGUGAGUUGGAGCCAAAGAAGGGCUCGGUAGGAGGAAGACCGGCGAGGAAGGGAGCUCAGGAACGCUGCUUCCUGGUGAGCCUAGCUUCCUCCCAAACCAAGCUCUUCGCUGGAUCUCAAAAGGCAAAGAAGGAAAAGCUUAUUGAAGGCAAGCAGGAGAAGAUCUAGUGGAAACCUUCAGAGCAAUUACUUAAAUGCGCCUCCCGACGCAUCCCUAUUCGCUGUGUGUAUGGCGAGCUCGCUUCUUCAGCCCUAACCCACCAGGCAGGGAGCGGUGAGGAAACUGGAUGCCCGCAACUUUUCCGAAGCUUGUUCUGUCUCGCCACUCCUCACCCCCAAUCGAGAGGACGAGUGACAGGAGAAAUGGCGCCAAGCGGUGUGCACGUUUAAAAGGUUCGUAUUAAUUCAUUUUGCUGCAGUCAAACGUGCUUCAGCGCCCCUGUGUGGAAAUACACUCAAACUGUGCUCUCCUGCAAGUGUCCAACCACAGACUUACAUGGCUAUUUUGUCCUCUCUUCCUCCCUUUUCUUGGGUGGAUUCCCUCUCUCUUUGUCUAGGCUAUCCUUUCUCUCUUCCUUCUGGAAAUCUUGCCCUAAUCUUUCCUGGGGAUCCGAAGCUCUACCUUCUUGUUUCCUCUUCCCAUCCUCAUUGCCCGGCCCUUCCCCUGUCCUCCUUUGCUCCCUGGCAGGCUGGGAUGGACCUGUUCUGUCCUGAGCGCAUGCCGGGGACUAGGAAACCAUCUGAGAAGGGAGAGGAAUCGGUGGAGAUGCCUGCAUCCGCCCAGUCACUGCUACUCUCUUCGAAACCAAUUCAAGGAUGACUGCCAACUAGGAAAUGGGUAGUAUGACCUCUCUACAAACUUUACAAACAGAAAAUGCCCAAUGCAAGAAAAAGGAACUGCUAUUACAGACUUAAAAAGAACACAAAGUUAAUAUGUGUAGUAUGUAUUGAGUUAAUUUUGAGUUUUUAAUUGGUACUUAAAGAUCAGUAUUUUUUUUAAAAAAGCUUUAAUUUUUAACUGAAUAAAAAGCCCGACUUUGAAUACAAUAAAGCUAAAUUUUAGUCUCCCAGUAGCACCUUUCUCUGUGUUUUAGAAUUGCCAUUUUGCAACUGCCUGGUUUUUAUAUAGUUCAAAACAUAUGAGCAACUACCUUAGGGACAUGUAGAGAACCACGAGUGGUUAACCAACAGAAGUGGUAAAAUUUAAGUAAAUUAAACUUAAUAUAUUGAUUCAACUAAAUGGCUGGUGUCAUUUU